RNAcentral lists this ribosomal RNA (480 nucleotides) under Triticum aestivum (bread wheat). RNAcentral describes it as "partial small subunit ribosomal RNA". The record is from RNAcentral. Lineage: Eukaryota; Viridiplantae; Streptophyta; Magnoliopsida; Poales; Poaceae.
AUGGCGGCAAAUCCAGAAGUCAUCACCGAGCUGGCCGUCCUCCCUGGCGACCCCUCCGCCACCACCAAGGCCCAGGAGAUCCCCAAGGUCGCCCAUGAUGCAACCCCGACCUGCAUCCCGAUGGUUCCCGUCACCUGUUCGACGGAGUGCUCGACCCAGGAAGCCCAUGACAUCGCUGCUGUCGCAGCGGAGGUUCGCAACACCACCACCGCACUCGGUUCCGAGCUCACAAUCGACCUCUACAACACCACAACAGCCAUCGGUGUAACCUCCUGUGGUCACCACGACAAGUUUAACCUCCUCAACAUCCCCGUGAAGGCCAGCAUCAGCCCGCCACCCCACGUCCAGCUGUUCCGGAACCAUGACCUGGACGUCAAGCCGCCCACAAGGCACGAAGGGCUGCCGAUACGGCCGACACCAUGGCCAUCAUAUCUGGUGCAUCAUAGUGCAGAGGAGAAUGAGGUUCGACCAACUCCGUAG